This 73-nucleotide transfer RNA is filed under the name Myotis davidii. It matches the Rfam family "tRNA". From Rfam's summary of the family: Transfer RNA (tRNA) molecules are approximately 80 nucleotides in length. Their secondary structure includes four short double-helical elements and three loops (D, anti-codon, and T loops). The record is from Rfam by way of RNAcentral. Lineage: Eukaryota; Metazoa; Chordata; Mammalia; Chiroptera; Vespertilionidae.
GCCCAUUUGGCUCAGUGGAUAGAGCAUUGGCCUGUAGACUGAAAGGUCCCUGGUUCGAUUCCAGUCAAGGGCA